RNAcentral lists this ribosomal RNA (231 nucleotides) under uncultured bacterium. RNAcentral's name for it is "partial 16S ribosomal RNA". It matches the Rfam family "Bacterial small subunit ribosomal RNA", at positions 16 to 236 of the family's 1533-position model. The record is from RNAcentral.
AUCCUGGCUCAGGAUGAACGCUAGCUACAGGCUUAACACAUGCAAGUCGAGGGGAAACGACAUCGAAAGCUUGCUUUUGAUGGGCGUCGACCGGCGCACGGGUGAGUGACGCGUAUCCAACCUGCCCACCACUUGGGGAUAACCUUGCGAAAGUAAGACUAAUACCCAACGAUAUCUCUAGAAGACAUCUGAAAGAGAUUAAAGAUUCAUCGGUGAUGGGUGGGGAUGCGU